Tyto alba (common barn owl) is the source of this 316-nucleotide long non-coding RNA. RefSeq lists it as uncharacterized. The transcript is spliced from 4 exons. The record is from RefSeq and is a predicted model, not a curated record. NCBI's taxonomy places the organism in Eukaryota, Metazoa, Chordata, Aves, Strigiformes, Tytonidae.
GCCGUUCUGCCUGAGAAACUGCAACUUCUCCAUGCUCUCCUUCUUUGAUUUAGGAACCUGCAGCCUGACGUUUUCCGCAUUCUGGUGCUUGGAAAGAGAAAGAAGAGAGGGGAAAAAAGAUGGAAACUAUAAACACUGGGCUUUUACCAGUCUGCCUCCAGCCAGCAGGAAGGUUCCCACAUUAGAGACCUGCUUGCUGUAAUUUGCUGUAAUGUACUUCCCUACUGAACAGGAAACAGAAUCAUGAGGUGAUGCCACUUGUCCAAGGCUACAGAGGAAGAUGGUGGCAACAGAAAGGUACCUUGACAUUUCCCAG